CCUACGGGUGGCAGCAGUGAGGAAUAUUGGUCAAUGGGCGCGAGCCUGAACCAGCCAAGUAGCGUGAAGGAUGACUGCCCUACGGGUUGUAGACUUCUUUUAUAAAGGAAUAAAGUGCGGCACGUGUGCCUUUUUGUAUGUACUUUAUGAAUCAGGAUCGGCUAGCUCCGUGCCAGCAGCCGCGGUAGUCCGGAGGGUGCGAGCGUUAAUCGGAAUUACUGGGCGUAAAGCGCCCGUAGGCGGUAUGUCAAGUCAAGGGUGAAAGCCCCGGGCUCAACGUGGGAACUGCCUUUGAGACUGGCAAACUGGAGUGUGUGAGAGGAUAGGGGAAUUCCAGGUGUAGGAGUGAAAUCCGUAGAUAUCAGGAGGAACAUCAGUGGCGAAGGCGACUAUCUGGCACAUAAUUGACGCUGAGGAGCGAAAGCGUGGGUAGCAAACAGGAUUAGAUACCCGUGUAGUC
Molecule: ribosomal RNA, 460 nt
Filed under: uncultured bacterium
Lineage: Bacteria
Description: partial 16S ribosomal RNA
Rfam family: Bacterial small subunit ribosomal RNA
Source: RNAcentral